This is a long non-coding RNA of Oryza sativa Japonica Group (Japanese rice), 1364 nucleotides long. RefSeq lists it as uncharacterized. NCBI's taxonomy places the organism in Eukaryota, Viridiplantae, Streptophyta, Magnoliopsida, Poales, Poaceae. The record is from RefSeq and is a predicted model, not a curated record.
GCCAACAGGUGGGGCCCACCAGUCGGUCGUCUUCCUCCUCUAGCCAUUGGGGCCGGAGCUCCAACCGCCCCAGCGCCGCCGCCUUCUCCGCUCCAUGUCGGGCCUCCACUCCGCGCCCGCACCUCGCACCCACGUCGCCGCCCUCUCCCCCGCCUCUCCCGCUCUCGCGCGCGCGCUCGCAAGGGGCAGAUUCAAUUUUAAAUCCCCCCUCCCUCUCUCUCUCCACCUCCCACGCCGCCGGCAAAAUAGGGAGCACCCCGGCGCACGUUCGCCACUCCCAAGCCUCAAUAAAGCUCCCCCGCACUCCCCUCCACCUUUUUCCUCUUUCCGCCGCUCGUUCCCGUGCCCUCUAUUGUUCUCACGCCGCUACACCCACCGCCGCCGCCUUUUCCACUCCUCCGGCUGCCGCUCGCCGCCGCUAGCGCCGCCGCCGAGCCGCACCGUCGUCAUCUUCGGGUUCGCACGGCCGAGGGCUACCUCGUCCACCCCUCCUCCAUCGAAUUCCGCCAUCGAAGGCCAUCGUUCGUCGUGUGCCGGGUGUCCUGGAGCUCAGCCGCCGUUCGACGUCGCCCUCCGGUCACUCACCGUCGCCGUUCGUCGUCGUCUCCUCCCGCGUCGCCGGCCGAACACCGAUUUCGCCCGUUUCGUCGAUUCGCGGUUUCUCGAAGACGUUGCUGUGGUUCCAUCAGUGCGAGAGCAAGGCAAGUCAUGCUUUACAUUUGAUCAUAUUGUACCCAAUUUACAAACACCCUGCAUUUCUAUCAAAUGUUGCACUCUUUUACAAUGUCAUGUGGGAUGGGUCCUAUUACUCAGCCAUACAUUGUUUACCUUAUGCCAUUGAUAACUUGGGUAUUAAAAUGACUAGAUAUUAGUUUAGGAGAUGCUUAGCCAUGCUUAGUUCAACUAGUGCACAAAAGGGGAUCUCAUUAAAGCAUAGACUUUGAUUAUUGGCAAUAGCUUUGGAUUAGUGGCACCGUAAUGGUGUUGGCUUAUUAAAAUUCACUACAUGGUGGGCUGUGGGUGCAUGGUUUUAUUGGUCGCACCCAUGGCAGUUAAGGACCGGUUCGCGGGAUGCCCUGGAAGAACUUAUCGUACUUACGACAAGCUAGCGUGGGCAACGACUGGGCUUGUAGUGUAGCUUUUCUCUAGCCGACGUACCCAGGCGAGGGUGGGCGUGAUGGAGUUGGGUCGGCCGGGGUGUCCGGUUGAUCGGCUUCCGGAUUCACUGCGGCAUGAAAGGGGGGCCGCCCGUUGCCUGCUGGGGGCGGGGGCGAACCCUAAGGUGUGGUGCGAUCGGUUAUAGGGGGUUAUGCGAAGGGUCCUGUCACGGCCUCUUUCCGGUAUGUCGUGGUGGCAUGUCGGCG